UACGAAGGGGGCUAGCGUUGUUCGGAAUUACUGGGCGUAAAGGGCGCGUAGGCGGCCUUGAUAGUUGGGCGUGAAAGGCCUGGGCUUAACCCAGGAACUGCGUUCAAUACUGCGAGGCUAGAGUGUGGGAGAGGUUGGUGGAAUUCCCAGUGUAGAGGUGAAAUUCGUAGAUAUUGGGAAGAACACCGGUGGCGAAGGCGGCCAACUGGACCACAACUGACGCUGAGGCGCGAAAGCGUGGGGAGCAAACAGGAUUAGAAACCCCGGUAGUCC
RNAcentral lists this ribosomal RNA (273 nucleotides) under uncultured Gluconobacter sp. RNAcentral's name for it is "partial 16S ribosomal RNA". It matches the Rfam family "Bacterial small subunit ribosomal RNA", at positions 524 to 796 of the family's 1533-position model. Lineage: Bacteria; Pseudomonadati; Pseudomonadota; Alphaproteobacteria; Acetobacterales; Acetobacteraceae. The record is from RNAcentral.